This is a long non-coding RNA of Mirounga angustirostris (Northern elephant seal), 14797 nucleotides long. RefSeq lists it as uncharacterized. The transcript is spliced from 3 exons. The record is from RefSeq and is a predicted model, not a curated record. Lineage: Eukaryota; Metazoa; Chordata; Mammalia; Carnivora; Phocidae.
UUUUAAGCGAUCUUCACACCCAACGUAAGGCUUGAACUUACAACCUGGAGAUCAAGAGUUGCAAGCUGUACUGACAGAGCCAGCCAGGCGCCCCUCCAAAUAUCCUUAAUCUCUAGCUUCCCCCUGCCAAAAGAAAACAAAAACAAACAAAAAAACACAUCCUAUGUGUUAGAGCACUGUUACGUGAACAUCACACAUUUGCCUACAGCUCGUGUGAUCUUAUUUCAUAUUCACAGACUUAGAUUUAUUAAGUUUUGUAUUAAGUGAACUCACUUAACAGAUAAAUCUAUCCACGAAGUGGCAAAACCUGGACUGGCAGCUAGAUCUCCUGAAUUUCAAUCUUGUCUCUGCCCAGUUCCAGCUAUGUGAUUUUGAGCAAGUUACUUAGCCUCUCAGUGCCUCAUUUUCCUUUCUGUUCUUUGGUGAUCGUAACAGCGGCUACCACGUGGUGGUCUUGUGAAGUCCGUUCAAGUGAACAGACUAGAAUUUUUGCUUGGCAGCACAUAGUAAAUGCUCAGUAAAUGGUAGCUGUGAUUUUAUGAUCAUAAUCCCUCCAUUAAUAAAAUGGAGCCCACCCCCUGGACUACCUGAAAUCAUUGUGUGUAUCAAACGUGGCAUGCACUGUUUGAGAAAUACUGCAUUUUUGCACAGAGCUAAUAUUCGUGUGAACUGGCAAGGUGACAGAAGCCACAGGGUACUUUCGAGAAGAGGACCGCACUGUAUCUAGGACCCAGGGUUAGAAUAUUUUAGAGAAUAAUAAACCCAAUUUAUCACCUUUUAAAAACCUCAUCAGCACAAAUGACCUAAGAUUUAAAUUGUAUUAAAUGUGUAUAAUCUGCAUGGGUGCCUCUGCCAUGAGAAUAAUUAUGCUAUAUUAUUCCCAGGAAAUGUGCUUUACUGAAGUAGAAAUCUCCAUUAUAUUCCCUAGAGAAUUAAACUUUUUGAUCCUUUAUGGUAUACACUGAUGUUAUAUAUCUCAAGAGUGAUGUCUUGACUAUAUCCUGUCUGUUCACUUUCCUAUCAAUAUUUAAAUGGUUUUCAGGUUUUUAUUUUCAAUUAUACUUACAUUUGAUGACUUCCUUGGAACACCAUCUGAGGAGUUAAUCUUCAUAAUCCAGCCAACAUAAAUGAACCUUUAGAACUACCCUGUUUUUAUUUUUUGUGUAUGCCAAGAUUUAAUGCAUAGCCAAGUAGCAUGAGGCAAGCUCAUUUAAGAGGAGUGUUGUAAAGUUAGAUUUUCAUUAUAUUUAGUGAAAGAUGGUGAUGAUCUCUUAAUUCUUCGCUGCCACAUCUGAGGCUCAAUAGCUUCAUGUCCUCACCCAUACUAACAUAAAUCCAUAAUAUACAUCUUGUGCGGAAUGUAAAUGAAAAAGCUUCCAUUCCAUUCCCAGUUUUCCCAAGAGGCAUGUACCAAAAAAAAAAAAAAAAAAAAAGAAAGAAAGAAAGAAAGAAAAAAAAGCAGAGCACAUUUGCCAUAUUAAAAUUGUCAAGCCCUUGUUUAUAGAUAAAAUUUAGACAUGGCUAAUCUUAUUUGUGUUCAAUAUUUAUAGGUCUUUGGAGCCUAUUACUUAUACCAGAUAUACUGGAAAGUAAUAUAACUGUACGCAAAUCCAAGUAAGUCUCAGCAACAUUUCUAAAUGGUAAAGGCAGUUUGCUUUUGAAAAAUUUGCAUUUUAAAUUUCUAAUUAUGGAGUCAGUUGAAGUUAAAUCCAAAUGGGUGCAAUUGUCACUCAAAAUGUCUUCCAUAUUAUUCAGACAGCAAAAUCUGUGUAGAUAGAAACCACUCAACUAGUGUUUCCCAAACUUUGCUUUAUGGAACUAAUUCCACAAGCUGUUCCAAAAGUUGCUUUGGGGAAUUGGGGUUUGGAGGUUGGGUUAGGAAGCAAAAUACCCUAUUUCAUUUUGAGGAACUUAAACAUAUUUGAACAGGUAUCUGUACUGUGAGACUUCUCACAUUCUCAAAUAUGCCAGUAUGCACUGAGAGUCUUCAGGAUUGAGAAAUGUAUUUAAUGUUUCACAAUCUUACUUGACCACAGGGUUUUGUGUGUAUGUGUGUGUGUAAAAUACUUGUUCAUGGUUCCAAAGAACAUAGUUUGGGAAAUUCCAGAGAUUUUACAGAAAUUAUAUAGAGCUGAUAAAAUAAUUUCUUUCAUUCUUAAGGUAAGUAUGCUUACAUUUAUUUAUUAUUCAAUGGGUAGAAACCAUUGUCACUAAAGAAUUCUUCCUGAAUAAGCAGAUUUGCUUAGGUUUGGAUUCUGCAAAUAUAAAAUUCUGGUUAAAAAAAAAAUUCUGGUUAAGGAAACUAUUGCUAUUUAAAUAAUAUUAUUCCUGAAUUUAAAAAGUAAUUUAUGUUAUUUUUAUUUAUUUUAUUUUUUUAUUUUUUUUUAAAGAUUUUAUCUAUUUAUUUGACACAGAGAGAAUGAGAGAGAGAGAGCACAUGAGAGGGGGGAGGGUCAGAGGGAGAAGCAGGCUCCCCGCCGAGCAGGGAGCCCGAUGCGGGACUCGAUCCCGGGACUCCAGGAUCAUGACCUGAGCCGAAGGCAGUCGCUUAACCAACUGAGCCACUCAGGCGCCCUUAAUUUAUGUUAUUUUUAAUGGAAAUAGAAAUACUCUUAGGCUCACGUUCAAUGUGCCUUUUCUUUCUUUUUUUUUUUUAAAGAUUUUUAUUUAUUUAUUUGAGAGAGAGAAUGAGAUAGAGCAUGAGAGGGGGGAGGGUCAGAGGGAGAAGCAGACUCCCUGCUGAGCAGGGAGCCCGAUGCGGGACUCGAUCCCGGGACUCCAGGAUCAUGACCUGAGCCGAAGGCAGUUGCUUAACCAACUGAGCCACCCAGGCGCCCGUAAUUUAUGUUAUUUUUAAUGGAAAUAGAAAUACUCUUAGGCUCAUGUUCAAUGUGCCUUUUCUAUGACUGGUAAAAAGUAGUCCUUUAUAUUUCAUGUCUCCCACCCUUUGAAAUACAAAUACCCAAUAUGUGGGAAGAAUGGGGGAGAUCUCGCCUGCUGUAUGUACAAGGGGUUUAUCACUUUGGGUCCUGCUCAAUGAUUUUUGGUGGAAGGGAGUUAGGAAGAAUUGUAUGGUAUUCAGAAUUUACAUAGUCUUCUCAGUGAUUUCUUUGUUUUUAAGAUUUUAUUUUUUUAAAAGAUUUUAUUUAUUUAUUUGACACAGAGCACAAGUAGGCAGAGCGGCAGGCAGAGGGAGAGAGAGAAGCAGACUCCCUGCUGAGCAGGGAGCCCGAUGAGGAACUCGAUCCCAGGACCCUGGGAUCAUGACCCAAGCCGAAGGCAGAUGCCCAACUGACUGAGCCACCCAGGCGCCCCUAAGAUUUUAUUUUUAAGUAAUCUCCACACCCAAGGUGGGGCUCGAACUCACAACCCUAAGAUCAAGAGCCGCAGGCUCCACUGACUGAGCCAACCAGGUGCCCCUCAAUGAUUUCUUUUUUUUAAUGCAGGCAAAUCCUAACAGGUUAUAUCUCAAAAGUUCAGUUAAUUGGUUGUAGGCCAACCCACAAAAGCCACAUUAAUUGUCAUGGAUCUGGUAUAUUAUAGUAUUAAAGAUUGUUUGAGAAUUGAAAUAGCCGUAUUACAAAGUCUGAGGGAAAACACAUUAGCACAUCUUUCUAUUCCUUACAAAUGAGAUCAGAGAUUUCUUUCAUUCGACACCUUUUUUACGAUGUUUUUUUCAGCCCCCACAGUUUGUCUGGAAAUAAAUGGUGACCAGAGGACCUUGGCUCCGGUGGGACGGAGGAAUGCGUUGGUUUAUAUGACCACAAAGUUGAAAUGGUAAAUGUAACUUCACGUGCAUCUGAAUUGUUAAGGGCGCAAAGGCAUUUAGUCUACCUGUCUCUCAUUUUCUUGAUUCUGUGCUCCUCUUUGCAGGUGAGUCUUCUCCAUGUGGACCCCACAGUCCAGCUGAAAGCCGACGCUUCCUUCCCAGUGUCUAUGGUCAAGUCCCUGUAUCCGUUCUGGUCAGGCCCCCUGAGUAAGAGCACCAUGGAGACGAGGAGAGGCUAAAUUAUUCACAUAAUUGAGGUGAAGGCAGUAUGAUCUAUGUUUUCGGUAACGUAUCUGCUCAUUUUGCAGGUGUGUCCCUGCACACACAAAGACACAGGGAUCUGUCCAAGAGCUGUCUCUAGUUAAUAAAUUAACUCUUCAUAUGGACAAGUCCAUUAUUAAUGACAUCAAGACUUUUAAACCAUUCUUGACGGUCAUUCUUAUUUCACAUGGCAAACUCCUGGACCAACUUUUCCACAGCUGUGUGACACGUUAGGCAUUUCUCUCUCUUCCCCUGCAGUGUUUCAGAAGAGGUACUCUUUCUUCUGAAGUUGUUUUGGAGUGAAGAAAUAAUCUUAGGUCAAUAAAAACUCACUCAUUCAACCAGGUAUUUGAUUUUGAGCACUUACAUGAAAAGUUGUGUUCAUUCCCUGAUCCUUCCUGCCUCCAUUUAAGCUAUGUAUUUUUGAGUAACAGAACACCCUCAAACUUAGUGACUUGAAACAAUUAUGACUUAUUAUCCUUCCCAAUAUUUGCAUCAGGAAUUCUGGUAGAGCUCAUCUGGGCAGUUCUUCUGUUCCAUAUGGGUGGGCUGGGCUGGGCUGGAAUGUACACGAAGAUGUUACUGCUUGUCUGGCAUUCCAGUUCUGUGCUUUUCCACGUGUCCUUUCUUUCUCCGUGUGUGUCUUCUCAUUUACUACUCUGGCCUAAACUUCUUGAGAGCUUGACAUAUGCCUUCCUACAUUGAAAGCGAGGCUCUUGAAAGGUCUCUUGAAGAACUUGAACAAAGCCAGCAGAGUGUCACUUCCAUUUAUCACUGGUCAUAGCAGAUCACAAUACAGGCCCAGAUUCAGGGGAAGGGAAACUGAAUCUACCUCUUGGUCAUUGGAGUGGCAUGCAUGUACAUGGACGGAAGGAAUUGAUGGAAGCCAUCUUUGGAUACUAUUCACUACGCUCUGUUAGCAAGUAUUUCAUAUUUCUUUUCUGAAGACCAGAACACAUUGCUUCUUUCAAACUUGUAUUUAUUUUAAAGCAUAAAUUAGAACAUGAGUCGCGCAUAUGCUUACCCACUUGGUCCUUUCCUUAUUGACUAAAGAUAGAACAGACUUGUUCUAAACAGGCUGCAGUUAAUGCAAAGUAUGUAGGCCACCCCUAUAGAAGCUUGCUUUAUAAUCAAAAAUUCAUGUAAUGUUUUCGUUUUUCAUUUGCUUCAGCCCUCCUGGUAUUAGCCAAUAAAAGAAUUAUAGUUUUAAUAACUAGUUGAUACAGCUGAUUUUAUCGAUUUUAAUAAAUAAUCAAACAUGUCUAAAAGCAAAAACAUCAAACAAAGUAUUUAAAUCCCUAAAACCUUGCCUGUGCUAAUCACGAAACUCAGUUAAAUGACUAAGAUAAAAACAGAUUAGUGUCAUUAGGCAAAAAAAGAACACGUACCAAUUACAGAAUAUAAGUCUUAUCAGUUUGCUUAAUAAAAACCUGAAAUGCUAAACGAGCACUGCACUCAUACACAUUUGUGGAAUACUUCAGCCUCUUGGUUUAAAUCGUCAUCCGAAGGAAACCAAUAACCACAGCAAAUGGAGGAGCAAGAGAAUAUCGAUUGAGUGCCUGCCCUCUCUUCCUUGUGUCCUCUCUUUUGUUACUCGGAUGAGCCCUCUGAAGUUGACAAAGAUGGAAACUGAGACCCACCAGAGAUGAAGCAAGGAGUUCAAGGACCUACAGCUACUGAGAAAUGGCAGUGGGAUUCAAACCCAGGAUUCAGUGCUUCACAAAUUCCUUAUGGUUUCCCACUCCCAUGAUGUCUCUCAAAGGAAAUAGAGUUGUACCUGGGACAUAUGACUGGGGUCACUCUGGGGCCAAUCUCUUCUAGUGUCUGUUGGUACUCUCAACAGACAAUGGAACAAGGGAUGGAUGCUGCUUACAUGGAUGUCAUUCUCGUGUCUUAGGGUUUCUGUUAAACCUCCCCGGCUCCCUUUUAAUAACUUAUUUAUAAUUUCAUCCUGUAUAAUCUUUCAGGAAUAAUUGGUUUCUGAGAAGUGUAUAUAAUACACUGGCUUUUACACUUUGUGGUGUUACUCAGGGGUUCUUAUCCUUUUUUGGGCUUCAGCUUCUUUGGCAGUGUGGUAAAGUUUCCUCAGAUCAGUGCUUCUAAAUGCAUACAAGAAAAUACAAAGGAAGCCCAUUUUAUUGAGAUAUGGUUUAAUUUAGGACCAGAAUUUAAAUUAGCUCAAGCAAAAAGGGAAAACAUGCCAUGAGCGAAAAUAAGCUUAUUGGUGUAAAGAACUAGAAGCAUUAGCACACUACGGCCCAGGGGCCAAAUCUGGCCCAUUACCUAUUUUUGGAGAAGUUUAUUGGAACACCUUUACUUUCUUUUUUGUUUGUUUGUUUUUAGUAUUAUGUCAUGUUAAUCACCAUACAUUACAUCAUUAGUUUUCGAUGUAGUGUUCCAUGAUUCAUUGUUUGCGUAUAACACCCAGUGCUCCAUGCAGAACGUGCCCUCUUUAAUACCUAUCACCAGGCUAACCCAUCUUCCCACCCCCCUCCCCACUAGAACCCUCAGUUUGUUUUUCAGAGUUCAUCGUCUCUCAUGGUUCUUCUCCCUCUCCGAUUUCCCCCCUUCAUUCUUCCCCUCCUGCUAUCUUCUUCUUCUUCUUUUUUUUUAACAUAUAAUGUAUUAUUUGUUUCAGAGGUACAGAUCUGUGAUUCAACAGUCUUGCACAAUUCACAGCGCUCACCAUAGCACAAACCCUCCCCAAUGUCUAUCACCCAGGCACCCCAUCCCUCCCACUCCCCACCACUCCAGAAACCCUCAGUUUGUUUCCUGAGAUUAAGAAUUCCUCAUAUCAGUGAGGUCAUAUGAUACAUGUCUUUCUCUGAUUGACUUAUUUUGCUCAGUGUAAUACCCUCCAGUUCCAUCCACGUCGUUGCAAAUGCCAAGAUUUCAUUCCUUUUGAUGGCUGCAUAAUAUUCCAUUGUAUAUAUACACCACAUCUUCUUUAUCCAUUCAUUUGUCGAUGGACAUCUUGGCUCUUUCCACAGUUUGGCUAUUGUGGACAUUGCUGCUAUAAACAUUGGGGUGCACGUACCCCUUCGGAUCCCUACAUUUGUAUCUUUGGGGUAAAUACCCAGUAGUGCAAUUCCUGGAUCGUAUGGUAGCUCUAUAUUCAACUUUUUGAAGAGCCUCCAUACUGUUUUCCAGAGUGGCUACACCAGUUUGCAUUCCCACCAACAGUGUAGGAGGGUUCCCCUUUCUCCGCAUCCCGCCAACAUCUGUCAUUUCCCAACUUGUUAAUUUUAGCCAUUCUGACUGGUGUGAGGUGGUAUCUCAUGGAGGUUUUGAUUUGGAUUUCCCUGAUGCCGAGCGAUAUUGAGCACUUUUUCAUGUGUCUGUUGGCCAUUUGGAUGUCUUCUUUGGAAAAAUGUCUGUUCAUGUCUUCUGCCAAUUUCUUGAUUGGAUCAUUUGUUCUUUGGGUGUUGAGUUUAAGAAGUUCUUUAUAGAUUUUGGAUACUAGCCCUUUAUCUGAUAUGUCAUUUGCAAAUAUCUUCUCCCAUUCUGUCAGUUGUCUUUUGGUUUUGUUGACUGUUUCUUUUGCUGUGCAAAAGAUUUUUUUUUUUUUUUUAAAGAUUUUAUUUAUUUAUUUGAGAGAGAGAAUGAGAGAGAGAGAGAGAGCAUGAGAGGGGGGAGGGUCAAAGGGAGAAGCAGACUCCCUGCCGAGCAGGGAGCCCGAUGCGGACUCGAUCCCGGGACUCCAGGAUCAUGACCUGAGCCGAAGGCAGUCGCUUAACCAACUGAGCCACCCAGGCGCCCGCAAAAGUUUUUUAUCUUGAUGAAAUCCCAAUAGUUCAUUUUUGCCCUUGCUUCCCUUGCCUUUGGCGAUGUUUCUAGGAAGAAGUUGCUGCGGCCGAGGUUGAAGAGGUUGCUGCCUGUAGGAACACCUUUACUUUCAAUUAUUUAUGUAUUGUCUAUGACUGCUUUCUAAGGAAAUAAAAAGGAAAAACAAAGAGCCUCCUAUUUUCUUAUGCAGAGAAAUCCGCUUCUCCCUUGCUCGUCCUCUAAACUCCAUUCCAGACCUCCUCUGAAUGCCUAAGGGUUUGGCCAAAGCUUUCAAAGUACCUUUAGUUAAGGCCUGGCCAGUGACAUUUUUAAAUUUAGCCCCAAUAUGUAGUUGGGGAGAGUUUGUUUUUUUUUUCUAUUAUUCAUUUGAAAUGUAUAUAAUAUGUCUGUAAUCUUAACAAAAGUCUACUUUGGCCCAUAACUGCUUUCAUUUAAUCUGAAAUUCAAGGGAGUGUAGAUAUCUCAGAAUUGCAUGGGAGACUGAAAUGAACAUAGAUUUAAUUUUUUUUAUUUAUUAUAGAAGGUAAAUCCAUUGGUUACGAAGUGGCUGAAAAGAAAACUCUGGGUAUUUCAGUUCUAUUUCUCUUAAUAGCCAAGAAAACAAAGAUUGGGAAAAUCUGAUAAUGCCCAUUCAAACAUGACCUGGGCAGGAAUCCAAGAAAGCUAGCUGUAAAACAAAUAAAUCACUUGCUAUUUUAAAGCAUGGAAAGCACAGUGAUCUCAGACCUAAACAAGGAAAUAAUCAUUAUUCAUCUUAUGUUUUAAAACACAAUUAUUAAAGAGAGCUCUCUGGAAACUUACUCUGGAAGUAGCAGAUGAAAUUAGUUCCAUAGGGGCCUGCACCUGACAAACCACAACUGGCUGGCUCUGGGUUAAAAGGCAAUGUGACCUUUGGCCCAGAAGAGCUGGGGAUAAUUUUGUGAAUUAUCUCCACCCCUUUGUCUGAGAUCCCUCCCAGACAGCAGGAUGGCUGCUGGUUCCACCCCAAGAUCCUGAGCUGGAGUAGACAGUUGCUACUUCUCUGAAAGCAUGAAGCUUCUAGAAGCAGUGUCUGUUGGCCUCUGGGGAAGCUGAAACUCCCUUUGCCUACUGUGGUAGCUAAAUUAAUGUCUCCUUAAAGAUGUACGUGUUCUAAUCUUUGGAACCUGGGGGUAUGUUACUUUACAUGGUGAAAGGGACUUUGAAGAUGUGAUUAAGUUAAGGAACUUAAGAUGGUACAUUGGAUGUCCACGUGGGCCCAGUGUCAUCUCAGGUGUCCUUAUAAGUGAAGAAGAGAGGCCAGAGAGUCAGAGUCCAGGAGAGAUUUGAAGAUCUACACUAUUGGCUUUGAAGACCAAGGAAGGGGAACAUGAGCCAAGGAAGACAACAGCCUAUAGCAGGUAGAAAAGGCAAGGAAAGAGUCUCCCCUGGAGCCUCCAGAAGAAACACAGCCCUCCUGACCCAUUUUAGAUGUGUGACAUCCAGGCUAUAAGAUAAUACAUUUGUGCCAUUUUAAGCCACUGAGUUUGUGGUAAUUUGUUAGAGCGAUGAUAGGAAACUAGUACAUUUACUUGCCCCUUUCCUCUCUAACUAUAAGAGUCUUGGUAUGCCUCAGGCAAAUCAGAAGACAUGCAUCAGAUUACAGUUUAGAAGGUGCAACUUGUGUGUGAUAUAGAGAAAAACAGGGUUUUGUGUGGCAAAUUUUCUGGUUCUUUAGUUUUCAAUGAAAAAUUAAGAUUUAUUUGUUUUUUUAAGAAGCUCUGGUUUCUUAUGUGGGUGGGACGGCAUAAAGGUCCUGGGGCCUAUUCUAUCUUGGAAGGAAGCACGUUGUUCCUUUCUAUCUACCUUAAAAGGCCAAGGAAAGAAGAGAGUAGAUUGGCCAAGUUUGCACACUCUGGAGCUAGUCCAUCUGGUUGUGAAAUAUACUAACUGAGAUUUUAGGCAAAUAAGUUCACUUUGGUCUCUCUGUUUUUGAGUAAAGGGUAAUAGUAUCCAUCUGAUGAAUUAUUUACAUAAAAACCUUUGAAUGGUGCCUAGAACAUGGUACAUGUGAUGAUAAAGAUGACGAUAAUGAUUAGCUCUUUAGGUUUUGAUUCUGGCUUUCUUAGUAGGUUUGUAAUCUUGCACAGUGUUUUUUCCCCUGAGCAAAUCUCAGUUUGUUUUCAUCUAUAAAAAGAGAGAAUAAUAGUAACCACCUGAAAUGUUGUUAUGAGAACUAAGAUCAUACAUAUAAAGCAUGUGGCACGUAGUAACCGCUCAGUAAACCUGAGACACAUUGUAAUCAGUGGGGAUCCAAGCAACCUAAGGCAGGAGUCAAUGCUUAAGCCUCCCUACGAUGUAAUUCUUCUUCAUCUUCCUUUAUUUGGCUUUUCCUUCCCUAACUUUCAGGAUAGUAAGAUUAAAAGGACUAAGAAAGGCACCAUUACAUUCUUAUUCCACAACCAUGCACCUCAAAACUAGGGUCCUCAGCAAUGAGUUAGGUGGGUGAGAAGACACUAUAUAAACAUGGCACAUCUUCUGGAAAGUCAACUUUACUCAAAGGUAAAUAAUUUAACAUAUUUUUCUUUUAAAACAAACAUGGAUGUAUUAUGAAGGAGAAUGCAAAUUUUGCAUGAAUUUUUAAGAACAGGAGUGGAUUAUUCGGCCACUUUCUUAUUGAAGCUUUAGAAACCCAACUCAAACUAGCUUAAACAGAAAAGACAUUCCCGCCACUGUAAUUUGAAACUUUGGAGGGCUCCAUUUCAGAGGUACGGCUGGGUCCAAGGGCUCUAACAUUGUCAUCAGGAAUCUUUAUUUACCCAUCUUCCAGGUCUGUUUUUCUCCAGAUUUUAUCCAGGGGACAGAGGAAAUCUAAUUGGCUAAAGUAACCUGCUUUCCAAUGAGGGUAGAGUACCUGGGCCCUUAUCUUGACAUUCCCCCAAGAUGUGGAUGUGUCUAAAAAGAAAAUAAAACACAUUCUGGUAACUGAAGAAGGUGGAAAGAAUUGCGAGCACAAUCAACCCUUAUCUACCAUGAGGAGACUUUGGAGAGAUUGCUUGCUUCUGAAGACCAUGAUCCCUAAUUCCUCAGGAUAUAAAUGUAUUCUGUGCUUAGACAUAUUUGCCUGAUGUCUAGGCAAAAAAACUACCUUUCUCUGAGCCUACACGUUCCAGCCAAAUCCAGAUGCACUGGUUCUGCUCUGUGGGGUAGAGGUGGGAAUGAACACACAGACUCUGACUACCUUCUCCAUUGAGCCUGAAAAAGGGGCCACUUAUGGAGAGUAUGUUCAAAGUAUGUUCGAUUUCCUCCAAGCCCCAGUGUAACUUCUGGCCUUGAUCUUCGAGAGUCUACACUAGAGUUUGAGGAAAAGACUUUUUCAUAGAAGUCAAGUGUGUGAUUUUGUGUGAGUUGUCCAUUUCUCUAUAUCUCUCAAGGACUUGUGGCUUCAGUUGAAGAUCCAGAGCUCUGUGUCCUUAAACAUCAUACCCACAUUACUAAGAAUGAUCCUCCAUUAAGUAGAUAAUACAGACUUGGGUUUCUGAAUCUAUGCAAGACAAAGAAGCAAAUCAAGAUGAAAACCAUCUUGGGACUUGCCAGUGCAUUUUUCCCAAGUGUUUAGGAGACCACUAAACCCAUGAAAUGCUCUGUGAAAAAAGUGUUGGAUGAUCAAGGAAGUGCCUUUCUGGGGAGCUUAUAUUCCAUACUAGCACAUUAAAGGCUCUGAGAAGUCUUGAAAUAAGGGAGCCUGGUUGGCUUUGUCUGACUAGCCUUUCUCACACUGAUUAACACCUUGUAUAAUAAUUAUUCAAAUUUGGAACACUUGGUGAGAAAAUGCUGCCUCAGGUCCAGGAACUGGAGGCUCUGGAAGUUCUCGCUUGGCUCCCCAAUUAUAGGCAAGGAAUAUUCAAAGCCUGGUGCCCCGUGUGCAACACAGUCACACCAAAGCUGGUGUUUCUACCAUGGCAAGGCGCUGAGCUGAGCACCAGUCGUGAGUAUGAUUAUGUGAUUAGGCAAAUCCCUGGGUGAAUCUUGGAGAAAUGAACACUGGGCAUAAUACAUUUGGGUCUAAUAGAAGUUAUCUUUUUAGCCUUUCUUUUAAUGCUAUGAUGUUUAUGUUCCUCCCAAAUUCAUGUUUAAGCCAAACUUUCAAGGUGAUGGUAUUGCUGAGUGGGGGAGGGGCACUUUGGGAAGCACUUAGGUUUAUGAGGGUAGAGCCCUCAUUAAUGAGCUUAGUACCUUUACAAAAGACCCGCACAGAGCUCCCUUGUCCCUUUUGCCAUUUGAAGACCCAGCUGGAAGGCAGUGAACCAGGAAUUGAGUUCUCAGCAGACACCACAUCUUCCAGCACCUUGAUCUUGGACUUGCCAGCCUUCAGGACCAUGGGAGAUCGAUUUCUGUUAGAAGCCAGCCUGUCUACAGUGUUUUUUAAUUGCAGCCCCAAACCAUGGUGUGUGUCGUAGCAGCAGAUGAGUCCAGUCAGGCCUGGCCACAGGCAAAGUUGUCAAGGAGUGGUAUUUAUCUCCCACUUUCCCGGACCCCUGCGGCGUGGGACCCAGCAUGUUCUGCUGCUUCCUCUGUGCACUUCUCUCCCUCUCUCCCCACUGGCUAACUCAUCAUCAUCAUCAUCAUCAUCCCCGUAGCAGCUACUGUUGAUGGAGCUCCUACAAUUCACGAGGCACCAUGCAAAGGGAGCUCUCCCCAACUUUAGGAAACGUGUUGUUAUAGAAACAUACAUUGUCACUUACCAGUGAAAGGAUUCAGAUUCUAAGGUUGAAGCAAGUUUGUGUGUUCCACAGAGUGAGAUAAUGAGGGAACCAAGUUUUGAAAGAGUUGGUAAUAGCCAGCGAAAUGUUUUUCCCUCCUAGUUGGAAUAUUUGCCUGUCAGAUUUUGUGUUCUGGAGAUUAUGAUGCCCUCGCUUCGAGGAGGGUGCUAAAAGUGGAAAUUUUAUGUUUCGUGGGAAAUGACUUCAGAGAUCUUUCUCUUUUCACCACAUUGUCUAUUCCUAGAAAAAAUUGCCUCUGUGUGUGUAAGGCCAGGAAGGGAAGAGAGGACCUGAGGAGACUUGAUGUAUAUAGGAGGCUACAAAAACACUUUGCCUGCUAUUAUAAUUAGUAUAAUGAGUUUCCAUUUUCAGUUAAAAAUGUACAUAAUUUUUGUAUUGGAUUUUCUUUUAUUUUUGUUCAAUAUGCUUACUUUUCAAGAGAGAAGCUGGCAUCUGGCCUUUCAGUCUUGUUAACCUUUUGCCGUUUUUAUAAUCAUUCACCCCAUUUUUACAAAUUUUAGUCUAUAAAAAUGACGAGAUUUACCAACUUAUAAAAUAAAACAUCUGGCAAAAAUAAAGAAAUGGCAAAAUGCUAAAAGAGCAGUCAAGAAAAACAUAGCUUGUUUAAAUGAUGCCAAAUGGAUGUCUACUUUAUCUGAUUAUAAUUUUUUACUUUUCAAAAACUCCCUUUGAUUUUCUGUAAUUAAUUGUCAUUAAGGAUCCAAAUCAUUUAUUAGUGCAACACCUAAAAGGAUUUCUCAGAUUGUGGUGAUAUUAACAGGGGAAAAAGUCAGCAUUAUUAUAUAUUUUAUUAUUUCGGGACUGUUUUCAAGCCACUGGUGUAAUUGGCCUGUAGCCUGUUCCAAUUAAUACGGUUUUUAAAUGCAUUUCUACAAAUCUGUUUUUUGGAAGCAAAAAUCUUGACUUAAAAAACUUGCUCGCAGCGGAGGCUUAUUGCUAUGCGAGGAUAAAGCCUGGGAGCCAUUUCUUUUUUAAUAAUUAUUUUCAAAGAAAUCUGUGAAAUCUUCAUCAACACUUUUAAAGAAGUAGUCCCUAUCAAGGAGAAGAAAGACUUUGAGAUCUAAACCUGUGUUAACCACCCUGGUAGGUGACAGAGUCUCGUGUCGCCUGCUGAGAGGUAAUUUUGCGGAAGGCAACGUAUUAACAAGAAGGGACUUUUGUUUUUGCCUACCUAAAUAUUUUCUUUUUCCAGUAAUCUCUUGUCCUUGAGUUGAGGCUGGAAUAUAUGGAGAUUUUCUACACACUCAUUCUCUACGGAGACUCAGAGGAUUCAAAUGAUACUAUGGCCCCCAUAUGUACAUUUGAUUUCAUUAAGGAAUAAUGUGGUAGUAUGACACCCAGUACAGAAGGGAGACAAUGGAUUAUUUCUAAUUGUCCCUCGUGGUGGGUUUCUUUGUUGUUUGUUGUUUGUUAUUGUUGUUGUUGUUCUUUUGGUCUUUCAGUUGGGAACAUUUAUGGGGCUAAUUUCAUUUCUCAUUGCAAAAUUUAUGUAGUACUCUGGCUUGCAUCAUAAAUUACAAAGGCAAUUCUUAUGGACCAGAUGAGGUCCCUUUGGACUUAAGCAUCUCACCACUUCACUUUGUCUUCCCAGGUGGCUUCUCUGGAAUAUCAUUGAAGAAUUCAAUGACUCUGACUAAAUUUGGUGCAUGACAAAAUGGUAGCUGCCAUCGUUUUCAAAUGUUCCAUUGGGGAAGAGGCAAAGAAAAUCAUCAGAAUGUUCUUUUGUUGGCUGCAACUUUUACUCCAAACCUCAGUGUACAACUCUGCCACUUAGGUUGAUCCCAGUAGAAGGCUGUUUUUUUUCCAGCCUUGAGAGCCUCCAUCUGGCCAUCUGUUUCCUCCUACCCCAUGCAAAUUGGGGGUCUGAACAUUGAUGGCAAAGAAAGAGAGAUACCGAGGAAAAGGAGCGAGAGAAGCAGAUAAUUUGAGAACAUUUGACUCCUAGGGUCUGUGGAGGAGUUGGUGGGAGGAGGUGAGAGAAGAUAACCUGUGUCUGUUGUGGUUAUGUGCUUGUCCCAUUCCUGGGGAAAGGGGUGAAAGGGCUGAAAGAGGUGGUGAGAUUCCCACAGAGACCACCAUGGGCUAAUCCCCAGUUAGGUGCAGAGGGCAUGUUAUUUUAAAAUGAAAUCGGCUAGACUCUGUAACGUUUGAGGAUUGCUGGGUGGGGUCAUGUUUUGAGGCAUGCUUAAGAGUCUGGAGCAAAAGGUAUCUUGGAAUAAAUACAGUGGUUGUAUGUUAA